Molecule: ribosomal RNA, 328 nt
Filed under: Allapsidae sp.
Lineage: Eukaryota; Cercozoa; Glissomonadida; Viridiraptoridae
Description: SSU rRNA
Rfam family: Eukaryotic small subunit ribosomal RNA (bases 55-328)
Source: RNAcentral
GAUUUCUGUGUAUGGUGUGCCUGGCCCGCUGCGGUUACGUAUGUGAGUGCCGGGUUGCAUCUACCAUCCUUCUAGACUCUCCCUAUCUUUCCUUCACUGGAGGGAUAGGAUCUGAGUGUAGAUCGUUUACUUUGAAAAAAUUAGAGUGUUUAAAGCAGGCUUUUGCUAUGAAUACAUUAGCAUGGAAUAAUAAGCUAGGACUUUGGUUCUAUCUUGUUGGUUUGUAGGACUAAAGUAAUGAUUGAUAGGGAUAGUUGGGGGUGCUAGUAUUCAGCGGCCAGAGGUGAAAUUCUUGGAUUCGCUGAAGACUAACUUAUGCGAAAGCAUU